Molecule: ribosomal RNA, 253 nt
Filed under: uncultured bacterium
Lineage: Bacteria
Description: partial 16S ribosomal RNA
Rfam family: Bacterial small subunit ribosomal RNA
Source: RNAcentral
UACAGAGGGUGCGAGCGUUGUUCGGAAUUAUUGGGCGUAAAGGGCGCGUAGGCGGUGCGGUAAGUCACCUGUGAAAUCUCCUGGCUCAACUGGGAGCUUGCAGGCGAAACUGCCGUGCUGGAGUGUGGGAGAGGUGCGUGGAAUUCCUGGUGUAGCGGUGAAAUGCGUAGAUAUCAGGAGGAACACCUGUGGCGAAAGCGGCGCACUGGACCACAACUGACGCUGAGGCGCGAAAGCUAGGGGAGUAAACAGG